AGUCGAACGAUGAUACCACUGCUUGCAGUGAUUGAUUAGUGGCGAACGGGUGAGUAACACGUGAGGAACUUGCCCAUGAGCGGGGGACAACAUUCGGAAACGGAUGCUAAUACCCCAUAGGUGGAUUGGUCGCAUGACGAAUUCAUUAAAGGUGGCUUUGCUACCACUCAUGGAUAGCCUCGCGGCGUAUUAGCUAGUUGGUAAGGUAAUGGCUUACCAAGGCAGUGAUACGUAGCCGACUUGAGAGGGUGAUCGGCCACACUGGGACUGAGACACGGCCCAGACUCCUACGGGAGGCAGCAGUAGGGAAUCUUCCACAAUGGGUGCAAACCUGAUGGAGCAAUGCCGCGUGAGUGAAGAAGGUCUUCGGAUCGUAAAGCUCUGUUGUUAGAGAAGAGCACGUGCUAGGUAACUACUAGCGCCUUGACGGUAUCUAACCAGAAAGUCACGGCUAACUACGUGCCAGCAGCCGCGGUAAUACGUAGGUGACAAGCGUUGUCCGGAUUUAUUGGGCGGAAAGGGAGCGCAGGCGGUCUGUUUAGUCUAAUGUGAAAGCCCACGGCUUAACCGUGGUACGGCAUUGGAAACUGACAGACUUGAAUGUAGAAGAGGAAAAUGGAAUUCCAAGUGUAGCGGUGGAAUGCGUAGAUAUUUGGAGGAACACCAGUGGCGAAGGCGA
RNAcentral lists this ribosomal RNA (679 nucleotides) under uncultured Carnobacteriaceae bacterium. RNAcentral describes it as "bacterial SSU rRNA". It matches the Rfam family "Bacterial small subunit ribosomal RNA", at positions 60 to 724 of the family's 1533-position model. Lineage: Bacteria; Bacillati; Bacillota; Bacilli; Lactobacillales; Carnobacteriaceae. The record is from RNAcentral.